RNAcentral lists this small RNA (174 nucleotides) under Gopherus agassizii (Agassiz's desert tortoise). RNAcentral describes it as "TUC338 (ENSGAGG00000001382.1)". The record is from RNAcentral. Lineage: Eukaryota; Metazoa; Chordata; Testudines; Testudinidae.
UUGAAGGAUCAGGACGUUAAAGAUGAACAUUUAUCUGAGAGCAGCAUGGGCAGCAGCAGUUUAAGCUUCUUCACACAGUCCUGCUAAUGUACCUGCCUUCUGGAGGGUCCACCACCCUUAGUAGGUGAAAUGAUAUUUCUUUCUGUUUCCAUGCCCAUUUCAUCCUCUGCUGAG